UUAAUUACUUGAAUGGGGUCAAUGGAUGAUCAUGAAGGUCCAUGGCGAGUCUGAUGACCUCCAUUGUACUUAGGAGGGUUGUUAUUCUCAAGUAGGAGAGCUUACAUCAUAAUUUGAGGUAGUGGGGUCAGCAUCUGCCUGGCUCCUA
Glycine soja is the source of this 148-nucleotide non-coding RNA. The record is from Rfam. Lineage: Eukaryota; Viridiplantae; Streptophyta; Magnoliopsida; Fabales; Fabaceae.